This 253-nucleotide ribosomal RNA is filed under the name uncultured prokaryote. Its description in RNAcentral is "partial 16S ribosomal RNA". It matches the Rfam family "Bacterial small subunit ribosomal RNA", at positions 525 to 777 of the family's 1533-position model. The record is from RNAcentral.
ACGAAGGGGGCUAGCGUUGUUCGGAAUCACUGGGCGUAAAGGGCGCGUAGGCGGCUUGAUAAGUCUGUCGUGAAAUCCCCGGGCUCAACCUGGGAAUGGCGAUGGAUACUGGCGAGCUAGAGUGUGUCAGAGGAUGGUGGAAUUCCCGGUGUAGCGGUGAAAUGCGUAGAGAUCGGGAGGAACAUCAGUGGCGAAGGCGGCCAUCUGGGACAACACUGACGCUGAAGCACGAAAGCGUGGGGAGCAAACAGGA